Molecule: non-coding RNA, 74 nt
Organism: Ixodes scapularis (black-legged tick)
Lineage: Eukaryota; Metazoa; Arthropoda; Arachnida; Ixodida; Ixodidae
Source: Rfam
GCCGGGAUGGUUUCAUCGGUUAAGGCGUCGCGCCGGACAGGCGAAGGUUGCGGGUUUAAUCCCCGCUCCUGGCC